AUGAACCCGUUAAUCUGAAAAUUUGCAUUAUAUAGCAGCAGAAGCAACGGUAUGAGCCCACCAUCUAAGAUUAUCUUUCAUGUCCAUGUCAAUCUCAUUGCUCAAAGCAGGAAUUGCCCAAUUCAUCAAUGGCUCCUCUUUCAUUCUCUGUUCCUGAACUUCCCAUGCUUCAGAUAAAUAAGGCCUAGAAACUGUAGGCUCAUCAAGAACGGUUUCAUCCUCAUGUUGCUUACCAAGUCUUUGCAAUCCUGGAAUUAUUGAAGCCAAGUUUGAAUCUUUAUCUUCUUCUGAGAAGACAAACCCCAAAUCUGUAAACCCUUUUAGCUCUUCAUAUUCCAAUUCUGACAAGCUCUUGCUUGCAACUUUCUUUCCUCUUCUCCUCGUAACUUUCUUUUUAUGUGAUUCCAGGACAUAUACCUUCUCCGUUGGUGUUGAAUACUCUUCUUCUGUGAAGUCUUUGCCUGAAAAGAUGGUGUGGAGCUUUGGUGCGUGGAGGACUGAAUCUGAACAGAAAGAAAAGCCAAAACUGAAGGUUGUAUUGGAGCAUAAAUCUUCACU
RNAcentral lists this long non-coding RNA (558 nucleotides) under Populus trichocarpa (black cottonwood). Its description in RNAcentral is "long non-coding RNA (PTRI_LNC002717)". Lineage: Eukaryota; Viridiplantae; Streptophyta; Magnoliopsida; Malpighiales; Salicaceae. The record is from RNAcentral.